AGUAGUUAAAACGCCUGUCGUCCCACAAGCUAAGCUGGGUUGGGCCAGGUCAGUAUUAGGCUGGGAAAUUCUUAAAGAACGCAGGUCUUGAUGACUC
This 97-nucleotide ribosomal RNA is filed under the name Chelonoidis abingdonii (Abingdon island giant tortoise). The record is from RNAcentral. Lineage: Eukaryota; Metazoa; Chordata; Testudines; Testudinidae.